RNAcentral lists this unclassified non-coding RNA (2940 nucleotides) under Homarus americanus (American lobster). RNAcentral describes it as "uncharacterized LOC121874578, transcript variant X3". Lineage: Eukaryota; Metazoa; Arthropoda; Malacostraca; Decapoda; Nephropidae. The record is from RNAcentral.
CGUCGUAGUAAACAUAACACAUUUACCACUGAAGUGUGUUGUAGGGAAUAUGGCCCGCUGUCAGGCAAAUUUGGGGGCGGCUACACGUCUACCGCAAGCAAGGGGAGUACAUCAACUGCCCAGUGGCAGAUUACCGAAGACAAAGAGGAUGAAGAAACUGGUGAGGAUGAAGAAACUGGAGAGGAUGAAGAAACUGGUGAGGAUGAGGUUGAUGGGAAAGACGUGUAGUGAAAGCGGGAAUAUGGAAAGAUACCUGACACCUAAGAAAAAGCCGCGUGUGUGGAAGAAGACAACAGAUGACACGACAGGUGGGAGUGUGUCAGCCGCCCACCAGGACCCUACAGUUGGCGAGGUUCCUCAAGAGCCUGAAGACAAGGUACUCAAGAGGGAAGCCACAGAUGAAUCACAGAUACUUCUCGUCUGGAGGCCGGGGUCACCUACCAGCCUUUGUGUGUGUGAAGAUGAUUAUCAACCCUUCCGCGAAAUCGUUUGUAUCGUUCAUCUUGAAGAACAUGCGGACGUUGAGGAAGUCCAGUCACUGGCGCUUGUCACCUCGAAGUCGCAGAUGUUAGAUCACGAAAUAGCUGACAACGACUAUCAGCCUCCUCAGGAGAUCGUGGGAACCGUAGAACCUAAGAAACAUAUGGAAGCCGAAGAAGUUUGGUCACUGGUGUUUGUUUCCUUGAAUUGGAAUCAGCAUCACACGGUCCUGAGCUCAAUGAUGACAGGUCAAGACACUAGGGGACUCUUGUUCACCUGCCGUCAACUCCACCAAGGAGGUCCUGGCAGUGUAACUUUCAAGUUGAACUUCAGGUCAGUGAUGAGGUACCUCAGGAACUUCUACGAGACCGAGAUCUACCUGAUGGAGGUCAUAGAAGAGCAUGAGUAUCAGGUCACAACAAGGUUCCUCGUAACAUCCCGGAUGGAUCCCACUAUGCCCUUUCUUCCGGAAUAUGACCCUAAGGUGCGAGGGGGACCCUGGUAUAGGAGUCCUGACGGGGAAGAUUUGUGCCUGAAGAAGAUCAAGACUUACGAUCACAAGCAUCCUGACGAAGGUCUCCCACAUAACCUAGAGUUCUUUUUUAAGCUUACUGACGAUCAGUACCAUCAACUACACCAAAUGUCUUCCUUGGAGUAGCAUGAAAAUGGUAAACAGUUAAGAGCAACACGAGCGGACGGAAACAGUCGUGUGUCUAAGGUCAGCGAACUUUCCGAAAAAAAAAUAAUCAGACAAAGACAUUAACAAUAGCUUAUAGCAUUAAUACAAAAUGAGUCAACACAAAAAUGUACAAUCCCAGAGUUAUUUUCUUCAACCUUCUCUCCUUCUGUGUGUUUCCCGGUGAUGUGAUAAUGUCAAGAAAAAGUUACAACGAAUAAAUGUCACGACCUUUACUAAAUAUCCUCCACGGAGAAAGAAGAACUGAUAAACUCUCGGGAAAUGUUAGAGUUCUUUUUUUAUCGUUCUCACCAGACAAUCUCUACAUGUCAUACAAUUGUUCAACAUGUAGGUUAUUUUUUGUUCUCCUAAAACCGACCCUUUGUACACGUGAAAAAAACAAAAACAUUAGAAAUAGUUACUAAAAACAUGCAUUUGCUUAUUAAAAGUAUGACAUACAGGUAAAAAUAUUUGUCUCACAAAAUUUACUGGAAUAUAAAAAAAUAUAUAUAUCAAAGGUGGUGGUUCUGUCGCACAUCAAACAACAAAUCUCAAGGAUCGUCAGACUCCAGGAACGCACCAGUAACAUCUGGAAAUCUUUCCCAUGUUGGACGGGCUGUCUUUUUCUCACGCCCACAAAAGGAUGAGGUUGUGAGGCAGCCAGUAAAGGCUUGGAAUAUUGGAGGAGUCCCUGACCUUGCUAGUCCCAGUGUUACGACGGUCAUGAAUAAACACAACUCUACUUGUUUCAUGUCUCAUGAGAAGCAGCCAUUUGUAGCACCAUCACAACUAUAUCAGUAGUAGACCUAUGGCUCACGACGGACGGCGUCUAUUACCGUAACUGAGGUGACCAGCAGGUGGUGGGUGAGGCCAGUAUACCACGAGACGUUGGCCAGUGCUCACACGCUCCAGUUGCCGCUACUGUACUUCAACCCGCGUUAUUGUUCCUGUUGCUUCAUCACAAAAACAAAGAACCCUGAGUGAUGGCAACCGUGGGUUGGGUGAUGACCGUGGGCGGGUGGACAGUGACGUGGGCAUCUGUCAUCAUCGUGUUGGCCGCCCACAACACCAAGGUGACUAUCGGGCGAAUUAGUGAGUGUCUUCCUGAGUUAACGCCGGAAAUUUUGCCGCAACAACACUACAGGACCGAGUCAGGGAUUAUGUGUGCUGCCCUCGCCAUGGAGAAGAGAGCCAUCCAGUACACCUUCACAAGCAACAUCAAGAACUGCACGUUGGAGGGGGAAGGUCUGGGUGUCGACACUAACGCCCUCAAGAUGGUCGCUACCCCGCCAACAAACACGCUGGAGGAGGUCGCUCAGGGGAAACUCACCUUCGCCAGUACUCCCAUGAUAUCCAAGACCAUUAUCCUUAACUCUGACUUGGCAGUGGACGGUGAUGAUAUCUCGGCUUCACGCAACUUCUACCAAUCAGCCUACAGGCUAGUGUACCCCUGGUGGGCGGUGGACCUCAGCUACACGCGAACCAUCUACAGAGUCAGGAUCACCGUGAGACAAGACAGUUGCUGCUUAUUUAGGACCCACGACAUCGAAGUUCGUGUGGGUGAUGUACGGGAGGAGUCUGGAAACUUGUCGUCUUACACGUUGUUCUCCACCUACAAGGGUCCGUAUGACAUCUCUCAGGGACACAUCGCCUGUGACAGGAAGGACGGCGUCUCUGGCAGAUACAUCAGUAUCCAGCGAGUGACUCCUGAAGAUCAUAUGCUCCAGCUUGUUGAGGUUAAAGUGUUUGCUUCAUUACUACCAAAUUAAAAACUAUAUUACAGC